Molecule: non-coding RNA, 318 nt
Organism: Podarcis lilfordi (Lilford's wall lizard)
Lineage: Eukaryota; Metazoa; Chordata; Lepidosauria; Squamata; Lacertidae
Source: the annotation of a GenBank genome assembly
GGAUGUGAGGGCGAUCUGGCUGCGACAUCUGUCACCCCAUUGAUCGCCAGGGUUGAUUCGGCUGAUCUGGCUGGCUAGGCGGGUGUCCCCUUCCUCCCUCACCGCUCCAUGUGCGUCCCUCCCGAAGCUGCGCGCUCGGUGGAAGAGGACGACCAUCCCAGAUAGAAGGAGUGUACCGUUCUUCGGUCAAGGGUAUACGAUAGCUGCGCUCCCCUGCUAGAACCUCCAUGAACUUAUUUUGUCAAUGCAAGAAACUAGACAGGCCUUUGGCCUGAUCAGCGUAACUCUUCUCCUGAGAAGAAGCUCCUGAGAAAAAGU